Molecule: transfer RNA, 69 nt
Filed under: bovine gut metagenome
Rfam family: tRNA
About the family: Transfer RNA (tRNA) molecules are approximately 80 nucleotides in length. Their secondary structure includes four short double-helical elements and three loops (D, anti-codon, and T loops).
Source: RNAcentral
GGGAUGUCGCCAAGCGGUAAGGCACAGGACUUUGACUCCUGCAUGCGUAGGUUCGAAUCCUGCCAUCCC